Molecule: ribosomal RNA, 497 nt
Filed under: uncultured bacterium
Lineage: Bacteria
Description: partial 16S ribosomal RNA
Rfam family: Bacterial small subunit ribosomal RNA
Source: RNAcentral
GAUGAACGCUGGCGGCGUGCCUAAUACAUGCAAGUCGAGCGAACAGACGAGGAGCUUGCUCCUCUGACGUUAGCGGCGGACGGGUGAGUAACACGUGGAUAACCUACCUCUAAGACUGGGAUAACUUCGGGAAACCGGAGCUAAUACCGGAUAAUAUAUUGAACCGCAUGGUUCAAUAGUGAAAGACGGUUUUGCUGUCACUUAUAGAUGGAUCCGCGCCGCAUUAGCUAGUUGGUAAGGUAACGGCUUACCAAGGCAACGAUGCGUAGCCGACCUGAGAGGAUGAUCGGCCACACUGGAACUGAGACACGGUCCAGACUCCUACGGGAGGCAGCAGUAGGGAAUCUUCGGCAAUGGGCGAAAGCCUGACGGAGCAACGCCGCGUGAGUGAUGAAGGUCUUCGGAUCGUAAAACUCUGUUAUUAGGGAAGAACAAAUGUGUAAGUAAAUAUGCACGUCUUGACGGUACCUAAUCAGAAAGCCACGGCUAACUACGUG